Molecule: long non-coding RNA, 535 nt
Filed under: Microcebus murinus (gray mouse lemur)
Lineage: Eukaryota; Metazoa; Chordata; Mammalia; Primates; Cheirogaleidae
Description: lncRNA (ENSMICG00000048325.1)
Source: RNAcentral
CGGAGGUAUUAUUAUUAUUACAGCAUUCCGCUGUAUUGUUAUCACCGCAUGCGAGCCAUUACAGUGUUAUUAUUAUUACUGCCCUGUAUGUGCUGUUCAUCAGGGAUCCGCAGUUACGUACAAAUCUGACCUAAAGACAUUCUCAGGAACACAUCUCUGUAGCCCAGGCACUGCCUGUAUUUGUUUAGGAAUUUUCUAUCGGUCCCUUACUUAUGUAACUGCUACUUUAUAACCGGUCCCUAGAAGGGGGCGGGUCUUCCUGGAAGUUUUGACUGCUGUUGUUUUCAUUUUCCAGUGACUCAGAGCAGUCCCGGACUUCUGGAGAAGAUCUGAAACCCAUAGGGGCUUCUUGUAACUGCAAGUCCAACAGAAACUCUGCAUCACCAUGGUGACCCCCUGUGGCCUACUCAGUGACAAACAGGAGCCAGUGCCACUUAAGAGUGUCUCUGUGAGCUUGUCCAUUAAUGAGUUUGUGACCAGUGUGUCUGCAACCCUCAACAUGACAAUAAGAAUUCCUUGGAGGGCCGCCUUUAUC